Gnathophausia zoea is the source of this 1807-nucleotide non-coding RNA. The record is from Rfam. Lineage: Eukaryota; Metazoa; Arthropoda; Malacostraca; Lophogastrida; Lophogastridae.
CCUGGUUGAUCCUGCCAGUAGUUAUAUGCUCGUCUCAAAGCCUAAGCCAUGCAUGUCUAAGUUCAGACAAUAAAUAGUGAAACCGCAAAAGGCUCAUUAAAUCAGUUUUUGUUUAUUUGUUAAUGAUUGAUAAUUGGAUAUCUGUGGCAAUUCUAGAGCUAAUACAUGCAAAUAUACUCUGACCGAAAGGAAUAUGAGUGCUUUUAUUAGUACCAAACCAAUGUGGUUGGCCACUUGGAAUGGUGACUCUGGAUAAUAUUGCCUAGUGAAAGUGCCUAUAGUGCUGGCACAUAAUCUUUCAAGUGUCUGCCUUAUCAGCUGCAUUGUUGGGUACCUGCCUACAAUGGCUGUAACGGGUAACGGGGAAUCAGGGUUCGAUUCCGGAGAGGGAGCCUGAGAAACGGCUACCACAUCUAAGGAUGGCAGCAGGCGCGCAAAUUACCCAAUCCCAGCACGGGGAGGUAGUGACGAAAAAUAACGGUGCAAGGAUCUAUCAAGGCCUUGUAAUUGGAAUGAAUAGAGUUUAAAAAAUUGUACUGAGUACCAAUUGGAGGGCAAGUCUGGUGCCAGCAGCCGCGGUAAUUCCAGCUCCAAUGGCAUAUAUUAAAGUUGUUGUGGUUAAAAAGCUCGUAGUUGGAAUCUUGCCUGAGGAGUUAGUGGAAGCCGAAUGGUUUUCUUCUAUAGAGUUCAGGCUUUUGCCUUGAGAACAAAUAGUGCUCUUGACUGGGUGUUUUUUGAAUUGUCAAGCACUAUUACCUUGACUAAAUUCGAGUGCUUAAAGCAGGCGUUUGCCUGAAGAGAUGUUCAUGGGAUGAUGGAACAUGAUCUCUGUUCUGUUUGUUGGUUUGAGAUAAAAGAGAUAAUGAUAAAUGGAAGCAAGCGGGGGCAUUUGUACUGCUACGCUAGAGGUGAAAUUCUUGGACCGUAGCAUGACAAACUAAAGCGAAAGCAUCUGCCAAGGAUGUUUCCGUUAAUCAAGAACGAAAGUUAGAGGAUCGAAGGCGAUCAGAUACCGCCCUAGUUCUAACUGUAAACUAUGCUGACCAGCUAUCUGCCGGCGUUAUUCCCAUGACUCGGCAGGCCGCUUCCGGGAAACCAGAGUUUCUGAGUUCCAGGGGAAGUAUGGUUGCAAAUCUGAAACUUAAAGGAAUUGACGGAAGGGCACCACAAGGAGUGGAGCCUGUGGCUUAAUUUGACUCAACACGGGAAACUUUACCAGGCCCAGACAGUAGAAUGAUUGACAGAUUGAAAGCUCUUUCUCAAUUUAUUGGUUGGUGGUGCAUGGCCGUUCUUAGUUGGUGGAGUGAUUUGUCUGGUUUAUUCCGAUAACGAACGAGACUCUGGCCUACUAAAUAGGGAGCAGGUUGUUGGGCGCCUGCGGUGUCUUCUUAGAGGGAUAAGCUGCUACCAGCAGCAAGAGAUUGAGCGAUAACAGGUCUGGUAUGCCCUUAGAUGCUCUGGGCCGCACGCGCGCUACAAUGGUAGCGUCAGCGUGCUGAGCAUCUCUGAGAGGAGGUGUCAAUCAUUGAAAUGGUACCGUGGUUGGGAUUGGGGCUUGCAAUUGUUUCCCAUGAACUAGGAAUUCCUAGUAGGCGCAGGUCCUUAGCCUGCAUCGAUUAAGUCCCUGCCCUUUGUACACACCGCCCGUCGCUACUACCGAUUGAGUGCACCAGUGAGGGCUUUGGACUGGCAUCCUUGGUGGGUUCUCCCCGCCUUGGCUUGAUGGGAAGAUGUCCGAGCUGGUGUACUUAGAGGAAGUAAAAGUCGUAACAAGGUUUCCGUAGGUGAACCUGCGGAAGGAUCAUUA